This 497-nucleotide ribosomal RNA is filed under the name uncultured bacterium. RNAcentral's name for it is "partial 16S ribosomal RNA". It matches the Rfam family "Bacterial small subunit ribosomal RNA", at positions 28 to 507 of the family's 1533-position model. The record is from RNAcentral.
GAUGAACGCUGGCGGCGUGCCUAAUACAUGCAAGUCGAGCGAACAGACGAGGAGCUUGCUCCUCUGACGUUAGCGGCGGACGGGUGAGUAACACGUGGAUAACCUACCUAUAAGACUGGGAUAACUUCGGGAAACCGGAGCUAAUACCGGAUAAUAUAUUGAACCGCAUGGUUCAAUAGUGAAAGACGGUUUUGCUGUCACUUAUAGAUGGAUCCGCGCCGCAUUAGCUAGUUGGUAAGGUAACGGCUUACCAAGGCAGCGAUGCGUAGCCGACCUGAGAGGGUGAUCGGCCACCCGGGAACUGAGAAACGGUCCAGACUCCGACGGGAGGAAGCAGUCGGGAAUCUUCCGCAAUGGGGGAGAGGCGGACGGAGCAACGCGGCGUGAGGGAUGAAGGUGUUCGGAUCGUAAAACGCUGUUAUUAGGGAAGAACAAAUGUGUAAGUAACUAUGCACGUCUUGACGGUACCUGAUGAGAAAGCCACGGCUAACUACGUG